AGAACCAACGCUGGCGGCGUGCCUAACACAUGCAAGUCGCACGAGAAAGGGUAGCAAUACCUGAGUACAGUGGCGCACGGGUGAGUAACACGUGACUAACCUACCUCCGAGUGGGGAAUAACUGAGAGAAAUCUUAGCUAAUACCGCAUAACACUUACGAGUCAAAGCAGCAAUGCGCUUGGAGAGGGGGUCGCGGCAGAUUAGUUAGUUGGCGGGGUAAUGGCCCACCAAGACGAUGAUCUGUAUCCGGCCUGAGAGGGCGCACGGACACACUGGAACUGAAACACGGUCCAGACUCCUACGGAGGCAGCAGUGGGGAAUUUUGCGCAAUGGGGGAAACCCUGACGCAGCAACGCCGCGUGGAGGAUGAAAUAUCUUGGUAUGUAAACUCCUUUCGAUGGGGAAGAUUAUGACGGUACCCAUAGAAGAAGCCCCGGCUAACUUCGUGCCAGCAGCCGC
This 459-nucleotide ribosomal RNA is filed under the name uncultured bacterium. RNAcentral describes it as "SSU rRNA". It matches the Rfam family "Bacterial small subunit ribosomal RNA", at positions 26 to 518 of the family's 1533-position model. The record is from RNAcentral.